Molecule: non-coding RNA, 70 nt
Organism: Danionella cerebrum
Lineage: Eukaryota; Metazoa; Chordata; Actinopteri; Cypriniformes; Danionidae
Source: the annotation of a GenBank genome assembly
UUCCCUGUGGCUCAGUUGAUAGAGUAUGCUAACAACUCAAAGGUUGUGGGUUCAAAUCCCAUAGAAGCAA